UUCGCAAUGCCCGAAAGGGUGAACGAGCGACGCCGCGUGCGGGAUGAAGGGUUUCGGCUUGUAAACCGCUUUUCUUUGGGAAGAAUGUCCGGAUCGUGUAUCUGGAUGCGACGGUACCAAGGGAAUAAGCCCCGGCUAACUCCGUGCCAGCAGCCGCGGUAAGACGGAGGGGGCAAGCGUUAUUCGGAAUCACUGGGCUUAAAGCGCGUGUAGGCGGAUGGGCACGUCGGCCACUGAAAGCCCCCGGCUCAACCGGGGAAGGGGUGCCGAAACGACCGGUCUGGAGGGACGUAGGGGGACCUGGAACUUCCGGUGGAGCGGUGAAAUGCGUUGAGAUCGGAAGGAACGCCCGUGGCGAAAGCGAGGUCCUGGACGUCUGCUGACGCUGAGACGCGAAAGCUAGGGGAGCAAACGGGAUUAGAUACCCCGGUAGUCCUAGCCGUAAACGAUGGGCACUAAGUAGAGGGGUUUU
This 472-nucleotide ribosomal RNA is filed under the name uncultured anaerobic ammonium-oxidizing bacterium. RNAcentral describes it as "bacterial SSU rRNA". It matches the Rfam family "Bacterial small subunit ribosomal RNA", at positions 364 to 832 of the family's 1533-position model. The record is from RNAcentral.